This 450-nucleotide ribosomal RNA is filed under the name uncultured bacterium. RNAcentral describes it as "partial 16S ribosomal RNA". It matches the Rfam family "Bacterial small subunit ribosomal RNA", at positions 29 to 523 of the family's 1533-position model. The record is from RNAcentral.
AGCGAACAUUGGCGGUAGGCUUAACACAUGCAAGUCGAGCGAGGCGUAAUAGUCGAGCGGCGAACGGGUGAGUAAUACAUGGAAAUCUACCCUGAAGUGGGGGAUAACGUCCAGAAAUGGACGCUAAUACCGCAUAAUCCAUAUUGGGAAAGCGUUGCAGCGCCUUAGGAUGAGUCCAUGGCUGAUUAGCUUGUUGGUGAGGUAACGGCUCACCAAGGCGACGAUCAGUAGCUGGUCUGAGAGGAUGACCAGCCACACUGGAACUGAGACACGGCCCAGACUCCUACGGGAGGCAGCAGUGGGGAAUCUUGCGCAAUGGGGGCAACCCUGACGCAGCCAUACCGCGUGAGUGAUGAAGGUCUUCGGAUUGUAAAGCUCUUUCGGCGGGGACGACGAUGACGGUACCCGCAAAAGAAGUCACGGCUAACUUCGUGCCAGCAGCCGCCGUAA